Molecule: ribosomal RNA, 396 nt
Filed under: Ptychadena nuerensis
Lineage: Eukaryota; Metazoa; Chordata; Amphibia; Anura; Ptychadenidae
Description: partial 12S ribosomal RNA
Rfam family: Bacterial small subunit ribosomal RNA
Source: RNAcentral
ACCCCACUAUGCUCAGCCGUAAACCUAACUUACAAGAAAAACGCCAGGAUACUACAAGCCGCCGCUUAAAAUCCAAAGGACUUGACGGUGUCCCACCCACCUAGAGGAGCCUGUCAUAUAAUCGACUCUACCCGCUACACCCAACCAUUUCUAGCCAAUCAGUCUGUAUACCUCCGUCGAAAGCUUACCAUGUGAACGAAUCGCAGUUGGCCUAAUGUCCUGUUUCGUCAAUAUGUCAGGUCAAGGUGCAGCCCAUGAAAUGGUAAAAGAUGGGCUACAAUUUCUAAGAUAGAACAUACGAAAACCUGCAUGAAAACCCAGAAAUGAAGGCGGAUUUAGAAGUAAAAAGAAAUUAGAGAGUUCUUUUUAAUAAGGCGCUGGGACGUGUACACACCG